This is a long non-coding RNA of Zalophus californianus (California sea lion), 1130 nucleotides long. RefSeq lists it as uncharacterized. The record is from RefSeq and is a predicted model, not a curated record. The transcript has 8 exons. NCBI's taxonomy places the organism in Eukaryota, Metazoa, Chordata, Mammalia, Carnivora, Otariidae.
GGCAGAGGCAUGCCCAACUUUGGCUGGCUGCCUUUUAGAGAAUAGCUGGGGAUAUAUGAGAGUGAAUGAAGGCAGAACAGUAAAACUGAUUACAGGAAGUCCCAAGUUGGAGAAAAUUGUGGCUUGCUCCAGAAAGUGGAAAUAGAGAUGGAAAGGAAAAGAUGAAUUCAAAAAUACGCUUUGGAGAAUUUUGAAAAAUAAAUAUGAUUUAAAAUUGCUUGUCAAGGCUUCCAUGGAAACUGAAGUAUUCAUUCUACGUUCAAGGCAGGAUUGCAUUCCCUGCUCUCUUUAAAGAUAGGAUUGGUCGUACCUGCUCUCCCCGGUGAAGUGGACCCAGUGGUGUCCUGGAGCUUAUACUGGCUUUUACCAGCACAAAUUUGAAAAAAGGGAAAGCCUGCUCUGUUUGGAGAAAUGAAAGGAAGAAAUGCGCAGUGUGAGUAGAAGUAGAGCCAAGGGAGAAAGCUCAAGAAAAAGGGGUUAAAACUAAAGAAAGAAUGGCCUAUUAUGAUGGGUUACUUCAACCCCCUUGGAAUGUCAAUUUUCCACAAACAGUAAAGGGAUUCAUAAGAGGUUCUGAUCAUUAUGGAAUAUUCUUCUACAACUGAGAAAGUGCAGCUGCUGAAUGCAGUUUUCCCCUUAUUGGCACAACAUCAAUCUAAAGUCGGUGUGGAGGCAGAAUCAAAGAGUAAGAGAAAGAAGAAAGAGAAAAAGAAAGAAGAAGGAAAAGAAGAAGGAGUGGUCAUGGCCACUGCUAAUUUAAAAGGAGUUUGGGAAAUGUGCUCAACUAAAGUCUAAUUAGCAUAGAGGAAGGUUCACAGAAAUAGAAAAACCAUGUGAGAUUUCUUGGUGCAAUUUCUUCAGAUACUGAAGUCUCAAAUUUAGGAGACAAUAUAAAAGGAAGAAAAGGAGGAAUAUGUUGUGCUGAUUAGGUGCUUCCAAUCUUAUCCUGAAGGCAUCGAUAAGUCAUUGAGGAAUUUGUAUGCAAAAGGACAUGGACCUUACUUGAUCAGAUACUUACUUCAGAAAGAUUGGAAAAACCUGAGCAUGUUUAUAUCCUAAAGGAAAUGAGCCAGCAGAAAGGACUGUUUAAAGAUUCACACAAUAAACAGGGAAACGGCACAGACCUACAU